AAAGUGUGAGUUCGAGUUGAUUUUGGAGCCGGUUCGAGGUAACUGGCUUAUCUAACCUUGUAUGGGGGACUUUCCUUUUGGAUAUGAUAUUUGGAAAUUGAAUGCCAUGUACGUGAGGUGACGAGAAUGUACUUGAGUUAAUUGUUGGAAAUUCAGUUUUACUUAAAUAUUUAGAUUGAGUUUCUUUCUUACCUGUUUAUUUCUAAUUGCAAUUAUAGCAUGUGCUAGUUUAGAAAAAGCAUGUUUAGUUGAUCUAAAUUACCUAUUUGCUUAAGCUAUCUUGUUUGUACUACGUGAAGCAUGUUAGGCUAGAAUUACAUGUUCUCUUGUAUUUAUUUGAACUUCAUUGUUGAAUAUCUUCUUGUUGUGGCAGCGAUAUUUACAUUGAGACUACGGAUGUGGGAUUCUGGUAGCUACCCCCCUGUCUGUUUACUUUGGGACUACAGGUUAGAUUCCCGGCAGACCCCCCUGCACAUUUACUUUGGGACUACGGGUUAGAUUCUCGGUAGAUUUCCCUGCAUGUUUACUUUGGGAUUGCAGGUUUGAUUCCCUAUAGAUUCCCCUGCACAUUGAUAGAUUGACUACGGGACGAUAUCCUGGGAGAUCCUUGGGACAGUUGAUGAAAAGGACUACAAGAUGGUAUCCUAGGAGAUCCUCAUUAUUUGUACUAGUAUUGACCUGUUUACUACGUACUACCUUAUUUUCUGCGUGUUAUUUUUUGCCUUGUAUAACCUGUCUUACUUUAUAGUUGUACUAAUUAUUCCUGUUUAUUUCCUAUUGUUGCAUGAUUUAUUAUUAUGUUUAUUCUCAGUAGGGCCCUAACCUUCCUCGUCACUACUGAUCGAGGUUAGGCUUGGCACUUACUGAGUACCGUUGUGGUGUAAUCAUGCCCCCUUCUACACAUGUUUUUCAAGUGCAGAUUCAGGUACCUCUGCCCAGGCGUGUUAUUCUCGAGGCAGAAUACAUCUAGCAGAAACUUCGAGGUACAUCUAUCGUGCCCGCAGACCAGGAGUCACUAUGUUAUUCUAGCUUUAGCAGUUAGCUUUCCUUUUGUACUGUUAUUUUAGGCAUUCUGGAGUUAGAGAUGUGUAUUAUAUUCUGUUAGCUUGUUUUUCCGUGAGUUCCCGAAUUUUGGAAUUGUAUUGCAGUAGUUGAACUAUUGUACUGUACGUGCCGAUUGACAUUUUACAUUCCGCGUUUCUUUUGGAUAAAUUUGGG
This 1218-nucleotide long non-coding RNA is filed under the name Nicotiana benthamiana. RNAcentral describes it as "long non-coding RNA (NBEN_LNC033255)". Lineage: Eukaryota; Viridiplantae; Streptophyta; Magnoliopsida; Solanales; Solanaceae. The record is from RNAcentral.